AACCGCUUGAACAAGCUAUGGAGCUUGAGUAGCUCAUUGGAAUUGGUGUUGGUUUUGGAGUAGAGUAUUGUUGACAUUGGUGAAGAACAAAGGUCGACUGAAGCAUUGAGGUAAGGAUGCUGCAGGAGCCUCUGGUGGCAAGUGGCCAUAUCUGGAUUAUGCAUGAAAUAUGGCAUUUCUUUGAGUUUAUGCAUGCCUUUUGUAGUUGACAUGUAUAGGAUUUUAUUUUGAAAGCCCAUGGUCAUUUGUAUAUCUUGAUUCAUUGGAUGAACUUAGCCUAUGCUCAUGCCUUUGGUUACACCUUUUGUUGAU
Gastrolobium bilobum is the source of this 312-nucleotide long non-coding RNA. RefSeq lists it as uncharacterized. Lineage: Eukaryota; Viridiplantae; Streptophyta; Magnoliopsida; Fabales; Fabaceae. The record is from RefSeq and is a predicted model, not a curated record. The transcript has 3 exons.